RNAcentral lists this ribosomal RNA (332 nucleotides) under uncultured bacterium. Its description in RNAcentral is "bacterial SSU rRNA". It matches the Rfam family "Bacterial small subunit ribosomal RNA", at positions 147 to 507 of the family's 1533-position model. The record is from RNAcentral.
GCCACCGAAAGGUGGUCUAAUACUUCAUAAUAUCCAUCUCGUAUGGAUUAAAGCUUUAUGCGCUUUGGGAGGGGCCUGCGUAACAUUAGCUUGUUGGUGAGGUAAAAGCUCACCAAGGCUUCGAUGUUUAACUGGUUUGAGAGGAUGACCAGUCACACUGGACUGAGAUACGGCCCAGACUCCUACGGGAGGCAGCAGUAAGGAAUCUUCCACAAUGGGGCAACCCUGAUGGAGCAAUACCGCGUGCAGGAUGAAGCGUUUCGGCGUGUAAACUGCUUUUAUCACCGAAGAUUAUGACUGUAGGUGAAGAAUAAGGACCGGCUAACUACGUG